This 253-nucleotide ribosomal RNA is filed under the name uncultured bacterium. RNAcentral describes it as "partial 16S ribosomal RNA". It matches the Rfam family "Bacterial small subunit ribosomal RNA", at positions 524 to 776 of the family's 1533-position model. The record is from RNAcentral.
UACGUAGGGUGCGAGCGUUGUCCGGAAUUACUGGGCGUAAAGCGCACGUAGGCGGAUUGUUAAGUCGGGGGUGAAAUCCUGGAGCUCAACUCCAGAACUGCCUUCGAUACUGGCGAUCUCGAGUUCGGGAGAGGUGAGUGGAACUGCGAGUGUAGAGGUGAAAUUCGUAGAUAUUCGCAAGAACACCAGUGGCGAAGGCGGCUCACUGGCCCGAUACUGACGCUGAGGUGCGAAAGCGUGGGGAGCAAACAGG